Molecule: ribosomal RNA, 426 nt
Filed under: uncultured bacterium
Lineage: Bacteria
Description: bacterial SSU rRNA
Rfam family: Bacterial small subunit ribosomal RNA
Source: RNAcentral
GUGAGGAAUUUUCCGCAAUGGGCGAAAGCCUGACGGAGCAAUGCCGCGUGAAGGAUGAAGGCCUAUGGGUUGUAAACUUCUUUUCUCAGAAAAGAAUUAUGACGGUAUCUGAGGAAUAAGCAUCGGCUAACUCUGUGCCAGCAGCCGCGGUAAGACAGAGGAUGCAAGCGUUAUCCGGAAUGAUUGGGCGUAAAGCGUCUGUAGGUUGUUUAAAAAGUAUUCUGUCAAAGAUUAGGGCUUAACCCUAGAUAGGCAGAAUAAACUUUUAAGCUAGAGUUUGGUAGAGGCAGAGGGAAUUCCCAGUGGAGCGGUGAAAUGCGUAGAUAUCGGGAGGAACACCAAAGGCGAAGGCACUCUGCUGGGCCAAUACUAACACUGAGAGACGAAAGCGAGGGGAGCAAAUGGGAUUAGAUACCCCAGUAGUCC